GGGGAAUAUUGGGCAAUGGGCGCAAGCCUGAGCCAGCAACGCCGCGUGAGGGAAGAAGGUCUUCGGAUUGUAAACCUCUGUCCUUAGCGAAAAGCAGCAGAUGGUAGCUAAGGAGGAAGCUCCGGCUAACUACGUGCCAGCAGCCGCGGUAAUACGUAGGGAGCGAGCGUUGUCCGGAAUGAUUGGGCGUAAAGGGCGCGUAGGCGGCCGUUUAAGUCUGGAGUGAAAUUCCCGUUUUUAAGGUGGGAACUGCUUUGGACACUGGACGGCUUGAGUGCAGGAGAGGUUAUCGGAAUUCCCGGUGUAGCGGUGAAAUGCGUAGAGAUCGGGAGGAACACCAGUGGCGAAGGCGGGUAACUGGACUGCAACUGACGCUGAGGCGCGAAAGUGUGGGGAGCAAAC
Molecule: ribosomal RNA, 402 nt
Filed under: uncultured bacterium
Lineage: Bacteria
Description: bacterial SSU rRNA
Rfam family: Bacterial small subunit ribosomal RNA
Source: RNAcentral